CUAACCCUCAACUUCUCCAGCCAAGUCCACAAGAGACAACAGAGGACUUGAGGAUCCGACUCGGUGACCAGCAGAGCCCAGCCACAGUCACUACUGUUCAGCUCCUCCUGUGAACAAACAGCAGAGCCGACCUUUGCAGAAUGGUUUCCCCCGGAGGACCUUGUUCUGCCAUUGCUUUAGCAACGGGACGAGCCAUCGAGGUUGGGCCUGGAUUGUUUGGAUUUCUGCACAACUUUAUGCGACAGAGAAUCCUAGCGGUUCAUCCCAGGAGGACACCGACCCUGAACCUGCCCAGGAGCCCUUACGAACGUCUCUCAGCAAGGGCAAGUACUGUUUGGCCACCAGGGUCUCUCUCACAGUCCUGCUCAGCCCCCUUAUCGCUGACCUUUUGUCCAGCUCGGCGUGGACCUCUGGAGGAGACGGGAGACCAAGCGCUAGGCAGGAGAGACGCACACACAGGAGGUACUGCUGCACGUGCUUCCCAAUCAAUUCAACUUAAUCUUCACUGCUCUACAAAACGUCUUUUGGAGUGUCAUGGUGCUCGUUGGGAAACUCCAGAUGUUCAGUGAUGUUUUCCAGAGAAAGGAGCUACAGGACGACAUCAUCUGGAUUGUAAGCAGCCUAACUAAUCAGUAUGUAAACUCACGCUUUAGAACAUUAAUGCUAUUCAAAGUAUAAUGCAUUUCACAGCUGUAACUGAGAUCUGAUGAUAUUUAUACAUGCAGAUAAUGCCCAAGGGCUCACUUGCUUAUGAUGCGACAUGUCAGCAAAACAUGAAGCACCACGAGGCAAUUCUGUGAUUAAGGGGGACUGGAUGUUUGUAUAGUUGGAUAGCUCAGAAGAAGUCAACAUGGUUACACAAGGCUUUCAACCUUCACGGAUUAACCAUGAAAUCCACAUAUGAACA
Molecule: long non-coding RNA, 907 nt
Organism: Acanthochromis polyacanthus (spiny chromis)
Lineage: Eukaryota; Metazoa; Chordata; Actinopteri; Pomacentridae
Exons: 4
Source: RefSeq, a predicted model, not a curated record